RNAcentral lists this ribosomal RNA (249 nucleotides) under uncultured bacterium. RNAcentral's name for it is "partial 16S ribosomal RNA". It matches the Rfam family "Bacterial small subunit ribosomal RNA", at positions 524 to 771 of the family's 1533-position model. The record is from RNAcentral.
UACGUAGGGUGCAAGCGUUAAUCGGAAUUACUGGGCGUAAGCGUGCGGCAGGCGGUUUGUAAGACUGGUCGUGAAAUCCCCGGGCUCAACCUGGGAAUGGCGAUGGUGACUGCAAGGCUUAGAGUUUGGCAGAGGGGGUAGAAUUCCACGUGUAGCAGUGAAAUGCGUAGAUAUGUGGAGGAACACCGAUGGCGAAGGCAGCCCCCUGGGUCAAAAACUGACGCUCAUGCAUAAAGCGUGGGGGAGCAA